AGCGUUGCUCGGAAUCACUGGGCGUAAAGCGCACGUAGGCGGAUUGUUAAGUCAGGUGUGAAAUCCUGGAGCUCAACUCCAGAACUGCCUUUGAUACUGGCGAUCUCGAGUCCGGGAGAGGUGAGUGGAACUGCGAGUGUAGAGGUGAAAUUCGUAGAUAUUCGCAAGAACACCAGUGGCGAAGGCGGCUCACUGGCCCGGUACUGACGCUGAGGUGCGAAAGCGUGGGGAGCAAACAGG
Molecule: ribosomal RNA, 240 nt
Filed under: uncultured bacterium
Lineage: Bacteria
Description: partial 16S ribosomal RNA
Rfam family: Bacterial small subunit ribosomal RNA
Source: RNAcentral